CAUCAUAUAGGGAAUGAGGUCUCCCGUGGAGGUAUCCAAAAUCGCUUAGUGCUGAUGACUUCUGAAAAAUC
This 71-nucleotide non-coding RNA is filed under the name Firmicutes bacterium CAG:555. RNAcentral describes it as "Fluoride riboswitch aptamer (crcB RNA motif)". It matches the Rfam family "Fluoride riboswitch aptamer (crcB RNA motif)". The record is from Rfam by way of RNAcentral. Lineage: Bacteria; Bacillati; Bacillota. RNAcentral also lists the same sequence under 1 other name.